Molecule: ribosomal RNA, 706 nt
Filed under: Streptomyces sp. YIM 100348
Lineage: Bacteria; Bacillati; Actinomycetota; Actinomycetes; Kitasatosporales; Streptomycetaceae
Description: bacterial SSU rRNA
Rfam family: Bacterial small subunit ribosomal RNA
Source: RNAcentral
UCGGUGGGGAUUAGUGGCGAACGGGUGAGUAACACGUGGGCAAUCUGCCCUUCACUCUGGGACAAGCCCUGGAAACGGGGUCUAAUACCGGAUACUGACCCUCGCAGGCAUCUGCGAGGUUCGAAAGCUCCGGCGGUGAAGGAUGAGCCCGCGGCCUAUCAGCUUGUUGGUGAGGUAAUGGCUCACCAAGGCGACGACGGGUAGCCGGCCUGAGAGGGCGACCGGCCACACUGGGACUGAGACACGGCCCAGACUCCUACGGGAGGCAGCAGUGGGGAAUAUUGCACAAUGGGCGAAAGCCUGAUGCAGCGACGCCGCGUGAGGGAUGACGGCCUUCGGGUUGUAAACCUCUUUCAGCAGGGAAGAAGCGAAAGUGACGGUACCUGCAGAAGAAGCGCCGGCUAACUACGUGCCAGCAGCCGCGGUAAUACGUAGGGCGCAAGCGUUGUCCGGAAUUAUUGGGCGUAAAGAGCUCGUAGGCGGCUUGUCACGUCGGUUGUGAAAGCCCGGGGCUUAACCCCGGGUCUGCAGUCGAUACGGGCAGGCUAGAGUUCGGUAGGGGAGAUCGGAAUUCCUGGUGUAGCGGUGAAAUGCGCAGAUAUCAGGAGGAACACCGGUGGCGAAGGCGGAUCUCUGGGCCGAUACUGACGCUGAGGAGCGAAAGCGUGGGGAGCGAACAGGAUUAGAUACCCUGGUAGUCCACGCC